This 377-nucleotide ribosomal RNA is filed under the name uncultured eukaryote. RNAcentral describes it as "partial 18S ribosomal RNA". It matches the Rfam family "Eukaryotic small subunit ribosomal RNA", at positions 592 to 976 of the family's 1831-position model. The record is from RNAcentral.
CAAUAGCGUAUAUUUAAGUUGUUGCAGUUAAAAAGCUCGUAGUUGGAUUUCGGGCGGGUGACGGCGGUCCGCCUCUGGUGUGCACUGCCGGCAUCCGCCUUUCUGUCGGGGACGGGCUCCUGGGCUUCAUUGCUUGGGACUCGGGCUCGACGUGGUUACUUUGAGUAAAUUAGAGUGUUCAAAGCAGGCGAUCGCCCUGAAUACAUUAGCAUGGAAUAGCACGAUAGGACUCUGGCCUAUUUUGCUGGUCUGUAGGACCGGAGUAAUGAUUAAGAGGGACAGUCGGGGGCAUUCGUAUUUCAUUGUCAGAGGUGAAAUUCUUGGAUUUAUGAAAGACGAACUUCUGCGAAAGCAUUUGCCAAGGAUGUUUUCAUUGA